Molecule: ribosomal RNA, 492 nt
Filed under: uncultured bacterium
Lineage: Bacteria
Description: partial 16S ribosomal RNA
Rfam family: Bacterial small subunit ribosomal RNA
Source: RNAcentral
AGUGAACGCUGGCGGUAGGCCUAACACAUGCAAGUCGAACGGCAGCACAGUAAGAGCUUGCUCUUACGGGUGGCGAGUGGCGGACGGGUGAGGCAUACAUCGGAAUCUACUUUUUCGUGGGGGAUAACGUAGGGAAACUUACGCUAAUACCGCAUACGACCUACGGGUGAAAGCAGGGGAUCUUCGGACCUUGCGCGACUGAAUGAGCCGAUGUCGGAUUAGCUAGUUGGCUGGGUAAAGGCCCACCAAGGCGACGAUCCGUAGCUGGUCUGAGAGGAUGAUCAGCCACACUGGAACUGAGACACGGUCCAGACUCCUACGGGAGGCAGCAGUGGGGAAUAUUGGGCAAUGGGCGCAAGCCUGAUCCAGCCAUGCCGCGUGAGUGAAGAAGGCCUUCGGGUUGUAAAGCCCUUUUGUUGGGAAAGAAAAGCAGCAGGUUAAUACCCCGCUGUUCUGACGGUACCCAAAGAAUAAGCACCGGCUAACUUCGUG